This is a long non-coding RNA of Ostrinia furnacalis (Asian corn borer), 511 nucleotides long. RefSeq lists it as uncharacterized. The transcript is spliced from 3 exons. NCBI's taxonomy places the organism in Eukaryota, Metazoa, Arthropoda, Insecta, Lepidoptera, Crambidae. The record is from RefSeq and is a predicted model, not a curated record.
CCCUGACCGCGUGCUAGCUACCACGUCAAAUAUUACACGUAAUUAAACGUGGUUUGUGGUUAUGGAAGAUGAAUUACUGUAAUUAGGACAAAGUAUGUGAGUGGAACCAAAAAUGUGCACAGCAAGACAGACAAAGCACCGCUCAAGGCGUAAAGAAGAAAUGCUGUCCCUUCCUCCCAACUUCCACAGUUUGUUGGUCGGAAUUGGACGGUGUAAAUUGACCUCGUGAGGAAGCGUUUGACGAUGUUGCGUGCGUGAUGCGCAUAAAAAAGACGGGCGCACCCAUUAUCAAGGCGUACCCACUGGUGUGUGGUGAAGUGACAGUCAUGAACAUGCAUUAAUCUCGGCCCAUUGCGGCCCACCAGUGCCGGAGCAGACCCAUUAUGCCCCUUCUCGCGUCGCGCUUGCCCCAAAUGGCGCGCAGUGGUGGGGGCAGGUCGUUCCAGCAUCGGGACGCCGCGAAACGAAAGGAACCCCGAAAUGCAACAGUGCGGUGCUUGGGCGUGGCAAA